This 527-nucleotide long non-coding RNA is filed under the name Panicum hallii. RNAcentral describes it as "long non-coding RNA (PHAL_LNC000476)". Lineage: Eukaryota; Viridiplantae; Streptophyta; Magnoliopsida; Poales; Poaceae. The record is from RNAcentral.
GGAGCCAGAAACCCGGCGCUGGCAGCGGUGGCGGCCGAGGAGAUGCCGGCAAAGGGCAGGAAGGGCACACUAGUAAGAAGCCGCCGCCGGGCACCGGCAGCAGGUCUUCGGCGGAGGGAGCCGGCAAGAAAUCGCAAGAAGAUGCUACCGGUGGCCGUUAGAGCCCAAGACCGACGCGGCAGCGCUCUGCACGGUUCCGUGCUUUCAUCCAUUCCUGUGUAACGUGCAUCCAUCCGGUUGUAAUUUAAUUAUGUUCAUCGAUCUGCAUGUGUGUUCAUUUGGGAUGCAAAUUAUAUAUAUUUUGGAUCAUUAGUUCAACUCAAAAAGCUGAUAAAAUGAACUAGAAUGAUAUUCUACGUAAAUAAUUUAGGAGGAGAAAUGAAUUAGAGUGGCAUGCCAUCGUAAUUAAUUAGCUGCCUCAAAAAACACUAUUGGAAACACUAUUAGGUACUUACUUGCAUCCUUAGUGUUCAUAGUUCGUUUUAUUACAACGCGAGCAACAUUUCAAGACAUGUCCACGUGGAUGC